Molecule: long non-coding RNA, 8739 nt
Organism: Caretta caretta (loggerhead turtle)
Lineage: Eukaryota; Metazoa; Chordata; Testudines; Cheloniidae
Source: RefSeq, a predicted model, not a curated record
AGCGCCCCGACGUAGGCGCGCAGCGAGAGGCCGAGGUGCCGCAGGUCCAGCACCGGGUAGGCCAGCAGCUGGCCCGGGCCGUGGAAGGUGGCUGGCUGAAACCCGGAUUAAGGAAACAAACUGGAAGUGAGCCCCAGGGCUGCUGAGCCCUGCCUCUGACCAUCAGGAGCAACCCUGUCAUACAACUGCACUCAUAAAUUUGUCCAGCUCUCUCUUUACACUAAUGAAGUUCGCCUCUACAACUACUGGGAGCGAGCUGCCCUGGAGAUUCUUAUACAGUGUGCACAGCCCCUCUUCUGUGCUCCGUUGCACAUUGGAACAGUACAAAGAAUGGCCAUCAAAUCCUAAGAGCAACCUCAACAGGCAAAACCUGUGGGUGCAUGGCAUGUGUCAAGUUAUCACAGACUGCUGUUGGCCCAGUGCAGGGCCUGUGACUUGUGCAGUUGUAUGCCCUGUAAAAUGUAGGUUUCAUUUCAGGCAGAAGUAAGGAAUGGAUCUUACCAGCCUGAGUGGGGAAAUUCCCCACGUGACAUUUAGUAUAGAUUAGUUAAUAUGUUUUUUUAGAAAGCAGCAAAAUAUAUUGUUUGAGUUUUUUCUUAAACAAAACUGCAAGGAGCUCAUCUCACUGCAACAACUCUACAGCGACACUCCAGUGUUCCCCUUACCCAGCAUUCACAAGCAUGCUCCAGGAACAUACCAAUCUGUGAUGAGUAACCCUACCAUAACAAACCAGAGCAAAACUCCACAGCACUACUGAGCAGCCUUUUAAUAAACCCAUUUGUGCAAAAUGGAGCUAAUGAAUUUUAGUAACAAAACCAAGUCUAGAAUUAUAUUGUAGUUAAACUUACAAAUGAUUAUUGUAAAUCACAGAAUCAUAGAAGAUUAGGGUUAGAAGAGACAAGAGGUCAUCUAGUUCAACCCCCUGCUCAAAGCAGGACCAAUCCCCAACUAAAUCAUCCCAGCCAGGGCUUUGUCAAGCCGGGCCUCAAAAGCCUAGAGAGGGUGGAGAUUCCACCACCUCCCUAGGUAACCCAUUCCAGUGCUUCACCACCCUCCUAGUGAAACAGUGUUUCCUAAUAUCCAACCUAGACCUCCUCCACUGCAACUAGAGACCAUUGCUCUUUGUUCUGUCAUCUGCCACCACUGAGAACAACCGAGCUCCAUCCUCUUUGGAACCCCCCUUCAGGUAGUUGAAGGUUACUAUCAAAUCCACCCCGCCCUUCUCUUGUGUAGACCAAACAAGCCCAGUUCCCUCCUCGUAAGUCAUGUGCCCCAGCCCCCUGAUCAUUUUUCUUGCCUUCCACUGGACUGUCUCCAAUUUGUCCACAUCCUUUCUGUAGUGGGGGACACUGUUCCCGCUAAGCUGUACGCAUGUGCACGCGCACACAGAUCCUAAACCCCGUGCACACGAUGAAACACCGUGCGCACAAAAAUGUACACAGAAGCACAACAAUCUGCACAGAAGAAAUUUUUUGUGCACAUGGCCUGUCAAAAAUUUGCACAGAAGAAAUUUUUUGCACACAUGGCCUGUCAAAAAUUAGAGGGAACAUUGGUGGGGGGCCCAAAACUGGAUGCAAUACUCCAGAUGUGGCCUCACCGGUGCUAAAUAGAGGGGAAUAAUCACUUCCCUUGAUCUGCUGGCAAUGCUCCUGCUAAUUCAGCACAAUAUGCCGUUGGCCUUCUUGGCAACAAGGGCACACUGCUGACUCACAUCCAGUUUUUCAUCCACUGUAAUCCCCAGGCCUUUUCCUGCAUUGCUGCUUAGCCAGUCGGUCCCCAGCCUGUAGCAGUGCAUGAGAUUCUUCCAUCCUAAGUGCAAGACUCUGCACUUGUCCUUGUUGAACCUCAUCAGAUUUCUUUUGGCCCAAUCCUCCAAUUUGUCUAGGUUACUCUGGACCCUAUCCCUACCCUCCAGCAUAUCUACCUCUCCCCCCAGCUUAGUAUCAUCUUGAACUUGCUGAGGGUGCAAUCCAUCCCAUCAUCCAGAUCGUUAAUAAAGAUGUUGAACAAAACUGACCUCAGGACCAACCCCUGGGGUACGCUGUUUGAUACUGGUUGCCAACUAAACAUCGAACCAUUGAUCACUACCUGUUGAGCCCGACAAUUUAGCCAGUUUUCUAUCCACCUUAUAAUCCAUUCAUCCAAUCCAUACUUUUUUAAUUUGCUGGCAAAAAUACUGUGGGAGACCGUAUCAAAAGUUUUGCUAACAUCAAGAUAUAUCACGUCCACUGCUUUCCCCAUAUCCACAGAGCCAGUUAUCUCAUCAUAGAAGGCAAUCAGGUUGGUCAGGCAUGACUUGCCCUUGGUGAAUCCAUGUUGACUGUUCCUGAUCACCUUCCUCUCCUCCAAGUGCUUCAAAAUGAAUCAUAGAAUCAUAGAAUAUCAGUGUUGGAAGGGACCUCAGGAGGUCAUCUAGUCCAACCCCCUGCUCAAAGCAGGACCAAUCCCCAAUUAAAUAUCCCAGCCAGGGCUUUGUCAAGCCUGACCUUAAAAACUGCUAAGGAAGGAGAUUCUACCACCUCCCUAGGUAAUGCAUUCCAGUGUUUCACCACCCUCCUAGUGAAAAAGUUUUUCCUAAUAUCCAACCUAAACCUCCCCCACUGCAACUUGAGACCAUUACUCCUUGUUCUGUCAUCUUCUACCACUGAGAAUAGUCUAGAACCAUCCUCUUUGGAACCACCUCUCAAGUAGUUGAAAGCAGCUAUCAAAUCCCCCCUCAUUCUUCUCUUCUGCAGACUAAACAAUCCCAGUUCCCUCAGCCUCUCCUCAUAAGUCAUGUGUUCCAGACCCCUAAUCAUUUUUGUUGCCCUUCGCUGGACUCUCUCCAAUUUUUCCACAUCCUUCUUGUAGUGUGGGGCCCAAAACUGGACAUAGUACUCCAGAUGAGGCCUCACCAAUGUUGAAUAGAGGGGAACGAUCACGUCCUUCGAUCUGCUGGCAAUGCCCCUACUUAUACAUCCCAAAAUGCCAUUGGCCUUCUUGGCAACAAGGGCACACUGCUGACUCAUAUCCAGCUUCUCGUCCACUGUCACCCCUAGGUCCUUUUCCGCAGAACUGCUGCCUAGCCAUUCGGUCCCUAGUCUGUAACGGUGCAUUGGAUUCUUCCGUCCUAAGUGCAGGACCCUGCACUUAUCCUUGUUGAACCUCAUCAGAUUUCUUUUGGCCCUAUUCUCCAAUUUGUCUAGGUCCCUCUGUAUCCUACCUCUACCUGACACCGUAUCUACCACUCCUCCUAGUUUAGUAUCAUCCGCAAAUUUGCUGAAAGUGCAAUCCACACCAUCCUCCAGAUCAUUUAUGAAGAUAUUGAACAAAACUGGCCCCAGGACCGACCCUUGGGGCACUCCACUUGAUUCCAGCUGCCAACUAGACAUGGAGCCAUUGAUCACUACCCAUUGAGCUCGACAAUCUAGCCAACUUUCUACCCACCUUAUAGUGCAUUCAUCCAGCCCAUACUUCUUUAACUUGCUGACAAGAAUACUGUGGGAGACGGUGUCAAAAGCUUUGCUAAAGUCAAGAAACAAUACAUCCACUGCUUUCCCUUCAUCCACAGAACCAGUAAUCUCAUCAUAGAAGGUGAUUAGAUUAGUCAGGCAUGACCUUUCCUUGGUGAAUCCAUGCUGACUGUUCCUGAUCACUUUCCUCUCGUGUAAGUGCUUCAGGAUUGAUUCCUUGAGGACCUGCUCCAUGAUUUUUCCGGGGACUGAGGUGAGGCUGACUGGCCUGUAGUUCCCGGGAUCCUCCUUCUUCCCUUUUUUAAAGAUGGCACUACAUUAGCCUUUUUCCAGUCGUCCGGGACUUCCCCCGAUCGCCAUGAGUUUUCAAAGAUAAUGGCCAAUGGCUGUGCAAUGACAGCCACCAACUCCUUUAGCACUCUCGGAUGCAACGCAUCCGGCCCCGUGGACUUGUGCACGUCCAGCUUUUCUAAAUAGUCCCAAACCACUUCUUUCUCCACAGAGGGCUGGUCACCUACUCCCCAUGCUGUGUUGCCCAGUGCAGCAGUCUGGGAGCUGACCUUGUUCGUGAAGACAGAGGCAAAAAAGCCAUUGAGUACAUUAGCUUUUUCCACAUCCUCUGUCACUAGGUUGCCUCCCUCAUUCAGUAAGGGGCCCACACUUUCCUUGGCUUUCUUCUUGUUGCCAACAUACCUGAAGGAACCCUUUUUGUUACCCUUAACAUCUCUGGCUAGCUGCAGCUCCAGGUGCGAUUUGGCCCUCCUGAUAACAUUCCUACAUGCCCGAGCAAUAUUUUUAUACUCUUCCCUGGUCAUUUGUCCAACCUUCCACUUCUUGUAAGCUUCUUUUUUAUGUUUAAGAUCCGCAAGGAUUUCACUGUUAAGCCAAGCUGGUCGCCUGCCAUAUUUACUAUUCUUUCGACUCAUCGGGAUGGUUUGUCCCUGUAACCUCAAUAGGGAUUCUUUGAAAUACAGCCAGCUCUCCUGGACUCCUUUCCCCCUCAUGUUAUUCCCCCAGGGGAUCCUACCCAUCCGUUCCCUGAGGGAGUCGAAGUCUGCUUUCCUGAAGUCCAGGGUCCGUAUUCUGCUGCUCUCCUUUCUUCCCUGUGUCAGGAUCCUGAACUCGACCAACUCAUGGUCACUGCCUCCCAGAUUCCCAUCCACUUUUGCUUCCCCUACUAAUUCUUCAAGGAAAAAUGCUUUCCUUGAGGACCUGCUCCAUGAUUUUUCCAGGGACGGAGGCGAGGCCGACUGGCCUGUAGUUCCCCGGAUCCUCCUCCUUCCCUUUUUUAAAGAUGGGCACGACAUUUGCCUUUCCCCAGUAAGAGCAAAUAAGAAUUUUAGUUGUAGUUUGUUUAAAAAUCAGGACUAAGAUCCUGUGUGGGUUGAAAUCAACCAUGUCGGGCCUCUAGAGAAUAAUAAAAUGAUCCGAUCUUAGCUUUUCAGCACUCUUCUAUAAAAUAUUCAAAUUUCCCCUAACUGCUAAAUGAAUCAACCAUUAAAAACAAAAUAAACUGUACCCAGGGAGCUCUUGUGAAGAUGUUGUUUCAAGUUAUCAAUUAGAUUAAUCAUAUAAAAGUUACAAUUCAUGCACUUAGUGUUCACAGACUAAUCAACUGGGUUAGUAAACGCUUACUUUAUCACAGAUCUUAUUUCCUGGAUAUCUACUCUUUGUAAUUCUAAACAAAUGAGCUCUCACCGCAGCCAACAGCCUUCUUGCAAGUACUACCAUGUGGUUACUGUUGUACUGGAGAAAUUGCAAGAAAGGCAGAAGUGAAUGAUAAGAGGCACUUUCUUCUGUUUACCUACUCCUUUGUUGAAAAGGAGUAAAGGUAACAAAGGUCUAUAAGAUGAAUGUAGCCUGGGAAAAAGCACCAUCGAAUAAACACAGUUGGACUGUGCCAGGUCACGCUCGACCACAUUUAGCCAGUUUCCUUAAACAACUGUACUGGCUGGCCUCCAUUCAGUUCAGGAUCCAGUUUAGUUCAGCACUGCUCCCUUUAUCACCAAUUCCUGAUUUCACUAAUUAACUUCAGAAGAGUUAUUCUGGAUUUACACCACUGCAACUGAGGCUAUAGUGCGACACUGUAGAUGCUAGCUACAUAAAUGGAAAAACCCCUCCUGCCAGUGUAGGUAAUCCACCUCCUCCAGAGAUGGCAGCUAGGUCAACAGAAAAAUUCUUCCAUCAACUUAGCACUGUCUACACGGUGAUUUAGGUCAGCUUAACAACGCUGCUCAAGGGUGUGGAUUUUUCACACCCCUGACCAAUGUAGUUAAACCAAAUUAAUUUUCUAGCGUAGACCAGGCCUGAGAUCAGAAUCUGGCUUGCUGAGUCUGCCCUUAGCAGAAGAGAUUUGCAUAUUGUGCCAAGAUUUUGUGUGUGUCUGUAUGUGUAUCAAGUUAUUUCCUUUUUUAUGAUUAAUCAUCAAAUUUUUGCUGGACAUCAAAGCCAAAUGCUCUUCCUUUUUGGCUUGCUGUGGUGAUGCAUGCGUAAGAUCAGGAAAAUUGUAUGUAAUAGGUCUGGGAUCCUUUGUAAAUAAGAAGCCAAGAAUUAGCUUGGUCGUGUACUUACAAUAUUUACUGUCAAUAUCCGGCUUUUGAAGCCGAGAGGAUAUGGAGAAUUUGCAUGGAACGCAACAAUAGAUGGCUCAAUGUUUCUCCAGAUAUAAGGGCAUAAUCAUUUUUGUAAAGAGUGCAUACAAUGUUGCAUUUUUCCAGAACAUGACUCACUGUUCAAGGUGACUGCACCUGUAUUUCUCCACCUCCCCUGCGGUCCAGCAAGGAUACUCACUCGCGCCUUCCCCUCUGUUGCCUGCGUCUCACUCCCAUCUGAGCAGGAUAAGGCUAUGCUGCACAGUUCUCUGCCUUCAUUGCAGGGACUGAAUAGACUUGCUUGUUUUCUCUUCAGAGACUGAUAAUAGAGAGUUGUUGCAGAUAUAAGGGAGGUAUCCACGACAUGGCUGUCACCAUGAUGAGUCCUCGGGUUUUGCUUCUGCUGAUGGCUCUGGCUCUGGCUCUGGCUCUGAGCAUCUGUCUGGGUGUCAGCACUGGAAACUGGGGCUGUGCCAAUUACCAGGGAUUACUGCCGGGCCGCGUGCUUUCCCCAGGAGAAUUCUCUGGGCCCCAAGGACUGUGCUGAAGGGUUUGUCUGCUGUGUGUCAAGUGCUUUUGGAUAAGAGUGGCUUAGCCCGAGGAGUCGAUGGUACAUGAGAUGAAGCCCCACGGGGACUUUGCUGGCAUUGGGAAGAACACAAGAUGCUAAUGUCAAUGCACAAUAAUUAUCAGCAAGAACUGGAACCUGCACAAAACCUUCACUGUUUCAUUACAAUGAAUAGGGUAUGGAUAAUUUUGGUCUUGAUCCUUCCCAUUGAAAUCAAUGGGAAAAUCCCUAUUGACUUAAAUGGGAAAAUCCCUAUUGACUUCAAUGGGAGAAGGAUGGGGCUGUUUCUCUGCCUUCUGUAAUUACAUUUAUCCAGUGCAGCAGCAUAAGUACCAGAUUUGGCUUUAUGAUUUUGGGAACCUUCAGUCAGAUUUUAACCUGCAGGGGGCACACCCAUCUCUGCUCUCUCUUCUCAUUCCCUACCCGCAAUCUAUCCGUCCUCCCUUUUCUCUGCCAAAUGGACACAUAGGAUAUAGAGUACCGAUCAAUGUGCUCAAAGAUGAAACAGACUCAAAGUCCCCAAGUUCGUUGUGGGACUGUCCUGCCAACUGGGUGGGUCUGGCACACUGGGAUGGCCCGCAAGUUUCACAUAUUCCUAAAACCAACCCAGAUGUUCUGUGACAGGCCAUGUUUCUUUUGUUUAGGGAUCGAGCCACUACAAUGCUUGACUGAUAUUUCAGUGAUCGCUACAGACCCUGCAACAGAGAGGCUCGUUUCUGAAAAAUGAGGUUCACGGUUGUGCUUUAGAUUUCUAACAAAUCUCGUCAGGGUGGGCUGAGGGCUCAUAUACGGUGGUGAUGGGUGCCCCUGUAAGAACACAGAUAGCUAGAUUAGAUAGAGAAAGGUUUCUGCAAGGGAUUAACUAAAAAAUCAGCAAAUAUCUGAUUUCAGGACAUAAUGCAAGAAAAUGUUAUUCUGCCUUUGACGAUGCACCACAUACAAAUUGUUAUUAUGUGAGUUCAAUACCAUAGACCCACAAUGACUGGCAGACUAUAUGGGAUACAAUCUUUCACCAGUUCAAAUCCAACCCCGGGUCAAUAUAACCAUAUAAGGACUCUCCAGUACCUGAUGUGAAAUGCAUUGGUGGAUCUCAGUACAGAUCUUAUUGGAAAGGUAUCUGGAUCACAAAUGCCUCCCAAACUGGCACAAACUUAUUCCCUUCUCUGCAAUAUCAGCAAAAAGACCAAGGUUUGGACAAUUAGUGAGACAAGGUGGGUGAGGUAAUAUAUUUUAUUGAACCAAAUUCUGAAAGCUUGUCUCUCUCUCACCAACAAAUAAACAAUGUUACCUCACUCACCUUGUCUCCCUAAUAUCCUGGGACCAGCACGGCCACAAGUGCACAGCAUACAAGGUUUCAAGAGACAUGAAGACUGAAGUCACCCCUGGAAGUGGUCUUUCUGAACUCCCUUCUGACUCUUAGAAGUGUCUUCUCCAGCUCAGGGAUGAGGCAUAUUUGAAAAGGAAACUCACACGGAUGCUGCCGGGAUAGCAGCAGAGACCACACUGAUAGGCACUGUAUAAAAACCUGAAUAGAACAGAUUAGUUCCGUAGACUAACAGAAGUGUUCAGGGUCCAGGAACUCAUUUCUCCUACCACUGCAUACAAGUAACUCCCAGUGAAAUCAAGUCGUUAUUUGUAUCCAGUUGCAAAAGAAUUGGGCUCCAACAUUGUCAGUUUGUGGGCCCUUCACCAGUGCUACAUUUUCUUAAAGAAGAGCAGUCUAUUCGCUCAUCAUGUCCAUCUCUCUGGCUGAUGCAGGAUUGCUGUCCACAGUACUGUAUAUACUUGAGCACACAAUCAAUGAAUGACCCAACUUGUAGGUGACACCUUUUCAUUGGACUUACUGGAAGGCAAAAAAAAGUCAAGUAUGUGAUUCUUGACAACUGCUGAUUUAUUAUUUCUAGUUAAGACCAUAGCUGGAUAUUGUUGGCUACAAUAAUGGGAUGGGGAGAGGGAGUUAUUUUUUGACAGUGUAAUCAAUUGUAUUUGUUACAGAGCAGUAAAAACCUUGCUUGAGAAUGUCUCUGCAGUGUUUCUGGUGGCUGCAGGUUAAAAAUAUCUGAAAUAACAUAUCUCUUCUCUUCUCAGAUUAAUUGAAUUGCAUUGUAUUGUUCAGGACAAAUAAAGG